UAAACUUGCAAGCACUAAACUUGGCUGUUUAAUACAGCAGACACCAGCCACAUGUGGCUAGUGGGAAUCUGAAAUGUGGCUGUUCGGAAUUGAGGUGUUCGUGGGAGAGAGAGAUGUUUGGAUCUUACAAGCAAGGCUCUAGUGUAUCCCCAUCUCACACUAUGGAGUCAUGUCUCAACCACCUCCUCCUAUUGUCACUCGGCAAAUGGAAUGGUUUCGGUGUGCUGAGAGCCCUGUACUGUGAAUGAGGGAGAAGACCAAGACACGUCAGGCACAACUAGAUCAUGAAAUCAACUCAAGACUUCAAAAACUCUCUAUAAUGGGAUACUGGAGCAAAGACACUUUGCUGUUGUGUUGCUUUUUAAUGUGGUAAUUUUCAACUAGGUAGUUGCAGUCAAAUAGAGGCAAAGAUGUUAACUGAAUCCCUCCGUGGCCUGCUGUGUGGGGCCAGUGAUGGAUGCUGUCUGGGAUGCUGAGGUACAUACAGUCCAGGCUCUGGUCAUACAGAGCCUGCUCUCUGGGCAGGAAGAUGGACACCUGGAUAAGUCAGAAACAAAACAGCGUGAAAUGAGUACACCCAAAUGAGGAUGAUGGGAAC
This is a long non-coding RNA of Mustela erminea (ermine), 598 nucleotides long. RefSeq lists it as uncharacterized. NCBI's taxonomy places the organism in Eukaryota, Metazoa, Chordata, Mammalia, Carnivora, Mustelidae. The record is from RefSeq and is a predicted model, not a curated record. The transcript is spliced from 3 exons.